Molecule: long non-coding RNA, 1551 nt
Filed under: Triticum aestivum (bread wheat)
Lineage: Eukaryota; Viridiplantae; Streptophyta; Magnoliopsida; Poales; Poaceae
Description: long non-coding RNA (TAES_LNC006206)
Source: RNAcentral
GGGUUCACAUAGAUGUAGUACUCUGUCACUAUCAGCUAGCUCAAAGUAUGUACGACUAUAGGACAAUGCAGGUUCACAUAGAUGUAGUUAUCUGUCACUAUCAGCUAGCUCUAAUUGAAUUUUUUUGGAGCAGUUCCAUUUGCAAAUAGACCAGCUACAAGGGCACACACAUACGCACACGCGCACCCUAAUUGAGAUAUCAUAUUACAAUGGUAACAAAUAUGUUAGUAUUUCUUACAUGCUGGCAGCUUAAGCAAGCACCUUGCGCUAUUAACUUCAGCUAGAUGUAGUAAUCUGUCACAAGAGCGUGACCAGUUCAGACCACCAUAUAAAAGAGCGGUACCAGCAGCAGACUUCAGAGGAAAGUUGAUUUUAUCCCUAAAUAAGAUGCUCCAUUUGACAUGCUCUAAAUGGACUAAUGAAAUAAUCUAGAACACCUCUGCAACUCUGGGGAUUUUGUAAUUAACUGCAUAUUGUACAAGGUGUCAAAUAUGUGAUUUAAGUAAAAUAUAGAGCAAUGGAAGUACAAGUGAUACGCCUGAAUAAAGCAUAACCUACAAGAAUCACAAGGGCUAAAAAUUCAGAAUGCAGAAAAUCUACAUAUGCCAAGAAGGUCACUCACCAAUAACCAUGUGUACUUCCAUACUGCGUAAACAGGGGAUAAAAAUUGUUUGAUCUGCAGUUAAUCACCUAAGCAUUGGGUUAACACAGUGGUGCUACUUUUCUUUUCCGUCCAAAACAGAACCAUCAUGUCUUGAGUUUCCUGAAAAACAGUAGACAUGCAUAUGAAUCCUAGUACUAAUUAACAACUAAUAAAAGAUGUCGAUCAAGCUUCAGAAACUUAGCGGCUGCAUAUUGAGUUCCAUCAUUGUUUUCCUCGAAACCACAAUCCAUAACACCUGCAUAUAUCUCACCUGGAGUAUUAUUAAAUACCCGUCUUCUUGCCCUCGAGUAUAUAUCACCUGCAAAAUAGGACAUGUGCUACUUAGAAAGAUUCUGUUUUUUAUCUGACAAAGCACUGAAUCAAAUAAUUCCUUUGCCCAUGAGUCUAGGUUUCUAAAAAUUUACUGAGAAGGUCAAAAAAAGUGCAGCAUUUGUAGGACAUGCCAACACAGAAAAGUAAACAUGUAACAGAAGUGGGAAGGAGGGAACAAGGAUGAUGGUAUUUAUAUGGAGGUUAUGGAGCUGAAUUUCUCCCUCUGACGUCCGGUUAUGGGAUAACCAAUCUGCGGCAAGUUGAAAGAGGGGCCUCUGUUCCGCCGUUUGUUGGGAAAAUUUGCUCUUAUGUAAGAACGCAGUUAGAUUAGAAGUUGUGAACACAACUUGCCGCAGAGCUUAAUCCAUGAUUUGCCGUAGAAAAAAAUACAUAGCCUAGCAUAGGUGUUCUAGAGUACAUAACCUACCAGAAAAAAUAUCUGGAGGCAGAGGAGAAAGGAUCAGACAUUAGCGAAGAAAAGGGGCUAACCUUAGAAUCAUGUUUUUUCAGUGGAAGUUUAUCUCAUGAUUCAUACUCAUCAUCCUGUGUCCCCUCCCUGGUUCGCCACUUCUGAU